GAUGAACGCUAGCGGCAGGCUUAACACAUGCAAGUCGAGGGGUAUUGGUUUUCGGACCAAGAGACCGGCGCACGGGUGCGUAACGCGUAUGCAAUCUACCUUUUGCAGAGGGAUAGCCCAGAGAAAUUUGGAUUAAUACCUCAUAGUAUAGUACCUUGGCAUCAAGGAACUAUUAAAGUCACAACGGCAAAAGAUGAGCAUGCGUCCCAUUAGCUAGUUGGUAAGGUAACGGCUUACCAAGGCGACGAUGGGUAGGGGUCCUGAGAGGGAGAUCCCCCACACUGGUACUGAGACACGGACCAGACUCCUACGGGAGGCAGCAGUGAGGAAUAUUGGACAAUGGGCGCAAGCCUGAUCCAGCCAUGCCGCGUGCAGGAUGACGGUCCUAUGGAUUGUAAACUGCUUUUAUACAGGAAGAAACACUGGUUCGUGAACCAGCUUGACGGUACUGUAAGAAUAAGGAUCGGCUAACUCCGUGCCAGCAGCCGCGGUAAA
RNAcentral lists this ribosomal RNA (495 nucleotides) under uncultured bacterium. Its description in RNAcentral is "bacterial SSU rRNA". It matches the Rfam family "Bacterial small subunit ribosomal RNA", at positions 28 to 524 of the family's 1533-position model. The record is from RNAcentral.